Coregonus clupeaformis (lake whitefish) is the source of this 433-nucleotide long non-coding RNA. RefSeq lists it as uncharacterized. The transcript is spliced from 3 exons. The record is from RefSeq and is a predicted model, not a curated record. NCBI's taxonomy places the organism in Eukaryota, Metazoa, Chordata, Actinopteri, Salmoniformes, Salmonidae.
GCUGAAAGUGACAUCAAAGAUGUCCUGUACUUUGUUGAAAGGUUUCCCCAUCUCCUCCCAUACCAUGGGCCAGAGGAGCAUGACCUUCUGGGUGAGGAGUUUCUAAAUUAUCAGACCAUGCCAAUGAUAUCCCUGCAGGACGAAACUGAAAUGGCAAGCUUCUUGGCUGAAAUGGCAACCCGGAAGCAUAAGGUGACAGGAGCCAAAGAAUUCGAGAGGCUUGCUGCCGUCGCCAAGCUUGUCCUGGUGUUGCCCCAUGCAAACUCACAUGCUGAGAGGGUGUUUUCAGUUGUGGGACUGAACAAAACCAAGAGAAGAAACAGCCUAGCAAUCUGGAGCCCUGCUUCAAAUGGGAGCCCCCCUCCGAUAUCAUCAAGGCCUCCAAGAAGGCCACAGGCCAGUAUAACCAUGCCGACAGGAUCUUUAUAUUUUC